CGGUUAAGUUAGAAAGGGCGCAUGGUGGAUGCCUUGGCACUAGGAGCCGAUGAAGGACGGGACGAACACCGAUAUGCUUCGGGGAGCUGUAAGCAAGCUUUGAUCCGGAGAUUUCCGAAUGGGGAAACCCACCACUCGUAAUGGAGUGGUAUCCAUAUCUGAAUACAUAGGAUAUGAGAAGGCAGACCCGGGGAACUGAAACAUCUAAGUACCCGGAGGAAGAGAAAGCAAAUGCGAUUCCCUGAGUAGCGGCGAGCGAAACGGGACCAGCCCAAACCAAGAGGCUUGCCUCUUGGGGUUGUAGGACACUCUGUACGGAGUUACAAAGGAACGAGGUAGAUGAAGAGGUCUGGAAAGGCCCGCCAUAGAAGGUAACAGCCCUGUAGUCAAAACUUCGUUCUCUCCUGAGUGGAUCCUGAGUACGGCGGAACACGUGAAAUUCCGUCGGAAUCCGGGAGGACCAUCUCCCAAGGCUAAAUACUCCCUAGUGACCGAUAGUGAACCAGUACCGUGAGGGAAAGGUGAAAAGCACCCCGGAAGGGGAGUGAAAGAGAUCCUGAAACCGUGUGCCUACAAGUAGUCAGAGCCCGUUAACGGGUGAUGGCGUGCCUUUUGUAGAAUGAACCGGCGAGUUACGAUCCCGUGCAAGGUUAAGCAGAAGAUGCGGAGCCGCAGCGAAAGCGAGUCUGAAUAGGGCGAAUUGAGUACGUGGUCGUAGACCCGAAACCAGGUGAUCUACCCAUGUCCAGGGUGAAGUUCAGGUAACACUGAAUGGAGGCCCGAACCCACGCACGUUGAAAAGUGCGGGGAUGAGGUGUGGGUAGGGGUGAAAUGCCAAUCGAACCUGGAGAUAGCUGGUUCUCUCCGAAAUAGCUUUAGGGCUAGCCUCAAGGUAAGAGUCUCGGAGGUAGAGCACUGAUUGGACUAGGGGCCCCUACCGGGUUACCGAAUUCAGUCAAACUCCGAAUGCCGAUGACUUAUCCUUGGGAGUCAGACUGCGAGUGAUAAGAUCCGUAGUCGAAAGGGAAACAGCCCAGACCGCCAGCUAAGGUCCCAAAGUAUACGUUAAGUGGAAAAGGAUGUGGAGUUGCUUAGACAACCAGGAUGUUGGCUUAGAAGCAGCCACCAUUUAAAGAGUGCGUAAUAGCUCACUGGUCGAGUGACUCUGCGCCGAAAAUGUACCGGGGCUAAACGUAUCACCGAAGCUGCGGACUGUUCUUCGAACAGUGGUAGGAGAGCGUUCUAAGGGCUGUGAAGCAAGACCGGAAGGACUUGUGGAGCGCUUAGAAGUGAGAAUGCCGGUAUGAGUAGCGAAAGAGGGGUGAGAAUCCCCUCCACCGAAUGCCUAAGGUUUCCUGAGGAAGGCUCGUCCGCUCAGGGUUAGUCGGGACCUAAGCCGAGGCCGAAAGGCGUAGGCGAUGGAUAACAGGUUGAUAUUCCUGUACCACCUCCUCACCAUUUGAGCAAUGGGGGGACGCAGGAGGAUAGGGUAAGCGCGGUAUUGGAUAUCCGCGUCCAAGCAGUUAGGCUGGGAAAUAGGCAAAUCCGUUUCCCGUGAAGGCUGAGCUGUGAUGGCGAGCGAAUUAUAGUAGCGAAGUUCCUGAUUCCACACUGCCAAGAAAAGCCUCUAGCGAGGUGAGAGGUGCCCGUACCGCAAACCGACACAGGUAGGCGAGGAGAGAAUCCUAAGGUGAUCGAGAGAACUCUCGUUAAGGAACUCGGCAAAAUGACCCCGUAACUUCGGGAGAAGGGGUGCUCUGUUAGGGUGCAAGCCCGAGAGAGCCGCAGUGAAUAGGCCCAGGCGACUGUUUAGCAAAAACACAGGUCUCUGCGAAGCCGUAAGGCGAAGUAUAGGGGCUGACGCCUGCCCGGUGCUGGAAGGUUAAGAGGAGCGCUUAGCGUAAGCGAAGGUGCGAAUUGAAGCCCCAGUAAACGGCGGCCGUAACUAUAACGGUCCUAAGGUAGCGAAAUUCCUUGUCGGGUAAGUUCCGACCCGCACGAAAGGCGCAACGAUCUGGGCACUGUCUCAACGAGAGACUCGGUGAAAUUAUAGUACCUGUGAAGAUGCAGGUUACCCGCGACAGGACGGAAAGACCCCGUGGAGCUUUACUGCAGCCUGAUAUUGAAUGUUGGUACAGCUUGUACAGGAUAGGUAGGAGCCUUGGAAACCGGAGCGCCAGCUUCGGUGGAGGCAUCGGUGGGAUACUACCCUGGCUGUAUUGACCUUCUAACCCGCCGCCCUUAUCGGGCGGGGAGACAGUGUCAGGUGGGCAGUUUGACUGGGGCGGUCGCCUCCUAAAAGGUAACGGAGGCGCCCAAAGGUUCCCUCAGAAUGGUUGGAAAUCAUUCGCAGAGUGUAAAGGCACAAGGGAGCUUGACUGCGAGACCUACAAGUCGAGCAGGGACGAAAGUCGGGCUUAGUGAUCCGGUGGUUCCGCAUGGAAGGGCCAUCGCUCAACGGAUAAAAGCUACCCCGGGGAUAACAGGCUUAUCUCCCCCAAGAGUCCACAUCGACGGGGAGGUUUGGCACCUCGAUGUCGGCUCAUCGCAUCCUGGGGCUGUAGUCGGUCCCAAGGGUUGGGCUGUUCGCCCAUUAAAGCGGUACGCGAGCUGGGUUCAGAACGUCGUGAGACAGUUCGGUCCCUAUCCGUCGCGGGCGCAGGAAAUUUGAGAGGAGCUGUCCUUAGUACGAGAGGACCGGGAUGGACGCACCGCUGGUGUACCAGUUGUUCUGCCAAGGGCAUCGCUGGGUAGCUAUGUGCGGACGGGAUAAGUGCUGAAAGCAUCUAAGCAUGAAGCCCCCCUCAAGAUGAGAUUUCCCAUUCCGCAAGGAAGUAAGAUCCCUGAAAGAUGAUCAGGUUGAUAGGUCUGAGGUGGAAGUGUGGCGACACAUGGAGCUGACAGAUACUAAUCGAUCGAGGACUUAACCAAUUU
RNAcentral lists this ribosomal RNA (2934 nucleotides) under Bacillus velezensis. RNAcentral's name for it is "bacterial LSU rRNA". It matches the Rfam family "Bacterial large subunit ribosomal RNA". Lineage: Bacteria; Bacillati; Bacillota; Bacilli; Caryophanales; Bacillaceae. The record is from RNAcentral.